GAUGAACGCUAGCGAUAGGCUUAACACAUGCAAGUCGAGGGGCAGCAUGGUCUUAGCUUGCUAAGACUGAUGGCGACCGGCGCACGGGUGCGUAACGCGUAUGCAACUUGCCUCACAGAGGGGGAUAACCCGUCGAAAGACGGACUAAUACCGCGUACACUUGGGAUAGGGCAUCCUGACCCAAGGAAAUGAAAUUCGCUGUGAGAUAGGCAUGCGUCCCAUUAGCUAGUUGGUGAGGUAACGGCUCACCAAGGCGACGAUGGGUAGGGGAACUGAGAGGUUGAACCCCCACACUGGUACUGAGACACGGACCAGACUCCUACGGGAGGCAGCAGUGAGGAAUAUUGGUCAAUGGGCGAGAGCCUGAACCAGCCAAGUCGCGUGAAGGAUGACUGUCUUAUGGAUUGUAAACUUCUUUUAUACGGGAAUAACAAGAGCCACGUGUGGCUCCCUGCAUGUACCGUAUGAAUAAGCAGCGGCUAACUCCGUG
This 490-nucleotide ribosomal RNA is filed under the name uncultured bacterium. RNAcentral's name for it is "partial 16S ribosomal RNA". It matches the Rfam family "Bacterial small subunit ribosomal RNA", at positions 28 to 507 of the family's 1533-position model. The record is from RNAcentral.